Molecule: transfer RNA, 72 nt
Filed under: Loxodonta africana (African savanna elephant)
Lineage: Eukaryota; Metazoa; Chordata; Mammalia; Proboscidea; Elephantidae
Rfam family: tRNA
About the family: Transfer RNA (tRNA) molecules are approximately 80 nucleotides in length.
Source: Rfam by way of RNAcentral
GCAGUGGUGGUUCAGUGGUAGAGCCCUUGCCUUCCAUCGCCGGAGGCCUGUGUUCAAGUCCCAGCCAAUGCA